CUCGGCACCACCAUACGCACCCAUCGCUCCAUUCCUCCCCAGAUAAUUUCCAGGGCUUGGUUUUGUAGCGGUAGAUUCAGAAACCAGACCCACAUGGAAAGCCAUGCUUCUUGUGAGGAGGUUGUGGGUGACUCUGAGCUCUUGGUUAAAAAAAUGGCUGCUAUUUG
This is a non-coding RNA of Prunus avium (sweet cherry), 167 nucleotides long. The record is from RefSeq and is a predicted model, not a curated record. NCBI's taxonomy places the organism in Eukaryota, Viridiplantae, Streptophyta, Magnoliopsida, Rosales, Rosaceae.